This 23-nucleotide non-coding RNA is filed under the name Gallus gallus (chicken). The record is from RNAcentral. RNAcentral also lists the same sequence under 2 other names. Lineage: Eukaryota; Metazoa; Chordata; Aves; Galliformes; Phasianidae.
CUCAUAAUCUGAAGGUCGUGAGU